AACAAUGUGUCGCAUCCACAUACAGCUACAGCCGGCGGCUUGUUAGAGGUGCAGUAACAAGUGACGGGUGUCGACGGCAGCGCGCUCGCCCGACGUGCGACUCGACGCCAGCUAAACUCGCGCCGAUAUCCUGAUUGAAUUCUGUUGUUACAACUGCUGUGUGCUGAUAUGUUAUACCUGCCGGUCGGUCGCAAAUUGCCCGGUGAACGGCGCCCUGUCGGUUGUCACUUGUCAGCGCUGUCGCCCGUCACCCGGGCUGACACCCAGUGGGAGCCGUCACCGCGGAUUUACAUAAAAGUGCAAGUCUCGAGGAAUUGAUCCUGGCUUCAUGGGUUUGCUUCCCGGCGCGUCCCCCGGGAUGUCCCCGACGCCCGGGACCGGGACUGAGCCGGGAUGCCGGGAUAAUUGUUACCUCAUUGCUGACAAGCCGUUUGUCUUGUCUUCCACGUUGUUAAUGGAUUGGUGAUUUGUUGCCAGCUAAUUGUGGUGCGGCUUUCGUUUAUUUUUGGCCUUUGAGUAUUUUGUCUCUUUCAGUUGUUGUGUAAUUGUAUCGUUUAAAUAUUACGCAAAAGAAAACUAUUACUAUCUUAUUUUGUGCUAUUUUUCAGCUAAGAUAAAAUCCGAAAACGUAAUAAAUAUUGAAUAAAUAAUUAUACUAAUAAUUUACU
This is a long non-coding RNA of Trichoplusia ni (cabbage looper), 668 nucleotides long. RefSeq lists it as uncharacterized. NCBI's taxonomy places the organism in Eukaryota, Metazoa, Arthropoda, Insecta, Lepidoptera, Noctuidae. The record is from RefSeq and is a predicted model, not a curated record. The transcript is spliced from 3 exons.